This 1029-nucleotide long non-coding RNA is filed under the name Malus domestica (apple). RNAcentral's name for it is "long non-coding RNA (MDOM_LNC013516)". Lineage: Eukaryota; Viridiplantae; Streptophyta; Magnoliopsida; Rosales; Rosaceae. The record is from RNAcentral.
UAUUAAACUAGAUUAGUUUAACAUGUGAAAUGUCCGUAAAGUAUUAUCACAUGAUUGGUUUUAGGGCACAUUUCCAACAGUGUACCGACAAUAUGACACUAAUGGGGCAAUAGCUCAAGCCAGGGAAUCAAGGUCUCAUCAAGAUCCGAACUCAAAUAAGAGACUGUACCACAUGAUUGAGAAUCAUGUAUAAUGGUGACGUCGUUAUUCUCAAGGUUGCUUCUAUGGAUAACAUAUAGAUAUCCAUUGUCUAGGCCUACUACUUAGCCAUUUUUGAAAUGACUAAAGAAGAGGUAUCAUCACUGAUGACCAAGCUGAUUGGCUCUAGUGCAAGUGGGAGAUUGUUGGAAAUGUGCCAUAAAACCAAUCAUGUGAUGAUACUUUACGGACAUUUCACAUGUUAAACUAAUAUAGUUUAAUAUCAAGGGCAAAGAUUAUUGUUUUAAGCCGUCUCAUAUAAAUGUUAUAUGCUUAAAUGAUAAGUCCAAGGAAUAUGUAUUUAGGAGAAUGUAAUUUAAACAAGUUAGAUUUAUGAGACCAUUCUCUUUCGUAGACAUAUCCUAAACGUUCCUGAUCAUAGGAUUGCCAAUUGGGCAUUGACAGUCCGUUAAGAUUAGUACGUGUUGUGUCUUCUCUCAUGGAGAGUGACUGGUCUCGAGUCAUUGGUGUGAUUGACACCAAGACAAGCAUGUAGGUGCUCAAUAGCGAAUGAGUCCACUGAACACGAUCAACGAGGAGUUCUCAUACUCAUGUCACAUGAGAACUCAUGGUUGGGAUAAUGCAAAGUAGUCCUUUGACCUGAGGCAUCAUAGUUGUCUUGUGGUUAAGUCCUUGAUCUUUGACUAUGUCAAAGUCACUCCAUCAGAGGGUGUCCACGGCAUAGUUGGGGUUAAGCCACUUAGCCAUGAAGGCAAGUGAAUGCGCAACAAGGGAUCUCUAACCUUCAAACUGUUUGAAGGAGAAUACUCUAUGAUAUGAUUAAGAAUCUCUGGCCAGAGUAUGAAUGAGAUUUAGGAAGUCAUUCCAAAU